This 128-nucleotide microRNA precursor is filed under the name Callithrix jacchus (white-tufted-ear marmoset). The record is from RNAcentral. Lineage: Eukaryota; Metazoa; Chordata; Mammalia; Primates; Cebidae.
GGGAUGCCACAUCCAGCCAUCCAGCGUGCAGUGCCCUUACAAGAAGGUGCCAUUCAUGUGGACUAAAUCAUGAAUGUCGCCUUCUUGAGAAGAGUAAUGUACAGCAUGUACUGCACAUGUGGUGUCCC